Molecule: ribosomal RNA, 563 nt
Filed under: Calliblepharis sp. 1TAS
Lineage: Eukaryota; Rhodophyta; Florideophyceae; Gigartinales; Cystocloniaceae
Description: partial 28S ribosomal RNA
Rfam family: Eukaryotic large subunit ribosomal RNA
Source: RNAcentral
UUGAAAAGCACUUUGAAAAGAGGGUGAAAAGAACCUGAAACCGUCACGGGGGAAGCGGAUUGCGUUGGAUUGAUGGGAUUUUUGUGUGUUCAGCCCUUUAGGGUGCAUUGGCAUGAGAUCUUAUUCGUCGUGGGUUUUCGGGAACGGAUGAUGUGUUCCCGGGGACUGAGGGCUCCCCUUUAUGGGUUGAGGACGACGAAGCGACGACGCGAUACGACCCGUCUUGAAACACGGACCAAGGAGUCUAGCGCGAUUGCGAGUCUAAGGGUGGUGAAACCUGGCGGCGGAGUGAAAGCAAAUGUGAAAACGAGCAGUUUGAGGCGGCAUAAAAUCGUUGAUUUUAAGUCCGACCUGGAGCCAUUGCGCUGGGACCCGAAAGAUGGUGAACUAUGCCGGAGUAGGGCGAAGCCAGAGGAAACUCUGGUGGAGGCUCGUAGCGGUGCUGACGUGCAAAUCGCUCGUCCAACUUGGGUAUAGGGGCGAAAGACUAAUCGAACCAUCUAGUAGCUGGUUCCCUCCGAAGUUUCUCUCAGGAUAGCGGGCCGACAUGUGUUGUUCUGUGU